AACACCACUAGUCUCAGUGCCUCUCUCCACAACACCACUAGCCUCAGUGCCUCUCUCCACAACACCACUAGCCUCAGUGCCUCUCUCCACAACACCACUAGCCUCAGUGCCUCUCUCCACAACACCAUUACACUCUGAAAGUGCAGAAAAUGAAUUAUGAAGAGCAACAGACUGUGCAAAAUGCAUUUUAUCCACAACUCUUAAGUCUACCAGAUCCU
Non-coding RNA from Pelobates cultripes (western spadefoot toad), 218 nucleotides. NCBI's taxonomy places the organism in Eukaryota, Metazoa, Chordata, Amphibia, Anura, Pelobatidae. The record is from the annotation of a GenBank genome assembly.